GAUGAACGCUGGCGGCGUGCCUAACACAUGCAAGUCGAACGGAAAGGCCCUGCGCUUGUGGGGUGCUCGAGUGGCGAAGGGGUGAGUAACACGUGAGUAACCUGCCCUUGACUUUGGGAGAACUUCAGGAGACUGGGGCUAAUACCGGAUAGGAUCUCCUGCUGCAUGGUGGGGGUUAGAAAGUUUCGGCGGUUGGGGAUGGACUCGCGGCUUAUCAGCUGGUUUGUGGGGUAGUGGCUUACCAAGGCUUUGACGGGUAGCCGGCCUGAGAGGGUGACCGGCCACAUUGGGACUGAGGUACGGCGCAGACUCCUACGGGAGGCAGUAGUGGGGAAUCUUGCACAGUGGGCGGGAGCCUGAUGCAGAAGCGUCGCGUGCGGAAUGACGGCCUUCGGGUUGUAAACCGCUUUCGCCUGUGACGAAGCGUGAGUGACGGUAAUGAGUAAAGAAGCACCGGCUAACUACGUG
RNAcentral lists this ribosomal RNA (468 nucleotides) under uncultured bacterium. Its description in RNAcentral is "partial 16S ribosomal RNA". It matches the Rfam family "Bacterial small subunit ribosomal RNA", at positions 28 to 507 of the family's 1533-position model. The record is from RNAcentral.